GCCUUGGUAGCUCAGCUGGUAGAGCAGUAGACUGAAAAUCUACGUGUCGGUGGUUCAACUCCGCCCCAAGGCACCA
RNAcentral lists this transfer RNA (76 nucleotides) under Clostridiales bacterium. RNAcentral describes it as "tRNA-Phe". It matches the Rfam family "tRNA". From Rfam's summary of the family: Transfer RNA (tRNA) molecules are approximately 80 nucleotides in length. Their secondary structure includes four short double-helical elements and three loops (D, anti-codon, and T loops). The record is from RNAcentral. RNAcentral also lists the same sequence under 2 other names. Lineage: Bacteria; Bacillati; Bacillota; Clostridia; Eubacteriales.